This 301-nucleotide ribosomal RNA is filed under the name uncultured bacterium. Its description in RNAcentral is "partial 16S ribosomal RNA". It matches the Rfam family "Bacterial small subunit ribosomal RNA", at positions 509 to 807 of the family's 1533-position model. The record is from RNAcentral.
CAGUCGCCGCGGUAAUACGUGGGUGGCAAGCGUUGUCCGGAAUUAUUGGGCGUAAAGGGCUCGCAGGCGGUUUCUUAAGUCUGAUGUGAAAGCCCCCGGCUCAACCGGGGAGGGUCAUUGGAAACUGGGAAACUUGAGUGCAGAAGAGGAGAGUGGAAUUCCACGUGUAGCGGUGAAAUGCGUAGAGAUGUGGAGGAACACCAGUGGCGAAGGCGACUCUCUGGUCUGUAACUGACGCUGAGGAGCGAAAGCGUGGGGAGCGAACAGGAUUAGAUACCCCUGUAGUCCCUGUCUCUUAUAC